AGUGAACGCUGGCGGUAGGCCUAACACAUGCAAGUCGAACGGCAGCACAGUAAGAGCUUGCUCUUACGGGUGGCGAGUGGCGGACGGGUGAGGAAUACAGCGGAAUCUACUUUUUCGUGGGGGAUAACGUAGGGAAACUUACGCUAAUACCGCAUACGACCUACGGGUGAAAGCAGGGGAGCUUCGGACCUUGCGCGAUUGAAUGAGCCGAUGUCGGAUUAGCUGGUUGGCGGGGUAAAGGCCCACCAAGGCGACGGUCCGUAGCUGGUCUGCGAGGAUGAUCAGCCACACUGGAAUUGAGAGACGGUCCAGACUCCUACGGGAGGCCGCAAUGGGUAAUAUUGGGCAAUGGGCGAAAGCCUGAUCCAGCCAUACCGCGUGGGUGAAGAAGGCCUUCGGGUUGUAAAGCCCUUUUGUUGGGAAAGAAAAGCAGCAGGUUAAUACCCCGCUGUUCUGACGGUACCCAAAGAAUAAGCACCGGCUAACUUCGUG
Molecule: ribosomal RNA, 492 nt
Filed under: uncultured bacterium
Lineage: Bacteria
Description: partial 16S ribosomal RNA
Rfam family: Bacterial small subunit ribosomal RNA
Source: RNAcentral